Non-coding RNA from Mycena leptocephala, 97 nucleotides. NCBI's taxonomy places the organism in Eukaryota, Fungi, Basidiomycota, Agaricomycetes, Agaricales, Mycenaceae. The record is from the annotation of a GenBank genome assembly.
GCGCCCUUGGUGUAACAGUAACACACAAUCUAUUAAUGCUGCGUGAUUCUAUCAAAGUAUUUGGAUUGGGUCCGGGGUUCGACUCCCCGAAGGCGCA